CAGACCUCUUGCAAACUCCAAAUCAGCACACAGUAGACACAUGUGUCUAAUCAGGAGCUACUUAAGAUCAGGUGUUGAUCGCCACUUUUAUUUCAUUUGUGUUUGCUCUGUCAGUUAACCAUUCAGGUCCUUGACAAGGCUGACUGAACAUGGCAGCGGCGGUUAACAGGCCUCCUCUGGCUCCUGAAGGGCCAAGUGGAGCAAACCCACACGUUCGAGUUAACGCUGACGUGGCAAACUCUACACAGCAGGAUCCAGGACUACACAGCACCAGCCAAGAUCCUGGACCUUCAUCUCAUCCUCAACACCCUGUCUUUGCCAGACCUCUGUUUUAUGUUCAUGCUCCACCUCUACCCCCGUUCCUCCAAUACCAGUGGCCCUUGCCUUAUAAUCCCUUUCCAGGCUUCCUAGGCAUGGGAUAUGGUAUGGUCAUGCCCCCACUUCCCCCUCCCCCUUACCUGGAGUCUCCAGCUUACAUUGUACCACACCCUCAGGUACAACCAGUCGACUAUAGACGCCUGCUUCAUCCCCAAGCCCACAGUCAUGCUCCUGGUGGAUCGUUUCAAAAUUUAAACCAGACUCGCAGAAUUCGCCUGCCUCAUACUACCCCUGUUAGAGAAACGGUGAAUUCUGAGGUCCAAACAGAACCCAUACACAGAGGUGGCUAUGAUGAGGGAUGCCCAAUUCUCAGCUCAGACUCUGGACGUGCAACUGCCUCCAAUUCUCCUUCAUCCUUAAGCUCUAGUUCCCAAAAACAAGGCUCAGCUGAGGUUGAGACCUAUAUGUUGGCCAGUACUGAGGCAAAAGAACAGGUCAAAGGGGCUAGCACAAACAGAGUCAAACAUGGCUGUCACAUGGUGCAUCCUACAGGGAUUACUGUCCAGUCAUCUAGAAGGGAAACUCAAGAAAUACAGGGAUGUAAGGAUGGUGCUAUUCAGGAGCCCUCUCUUAUCCCUCCUUGCGGAAAUGCACAUUGCAACAUGUGGUCAGUGAGUUCUCAGGAUAGCAUGGGGCCAGUAUGUAGCUCUUCUCAAACAGAGGAUGAAGUCAAAGAGAGGCGCAUCUCUGUUCCUGACAUUCUAAGCUGGGGAGGUGGUACAUCACAGAAAGCGAUGACAACAGCAGCUGAGGCACUCCUCCAAAAUAAUCAUGAGAUUCAAUGUUAUGAAAAUGAAGUGGAGAGAAAGUCUGUUUAUCAGAGUCCAAGUAAGCCAAAGAAUUAUCCAGUGGUGGUUAGCAGUGCUGAUGAUGUAGAUUUUGAAGUUCUUUCAAGUUCUAAGGACAGUGAAAUGGUCUUUAAGAUCCUCAGACUUCCGUCUCUUUUAGAACCCUUUUCACUGUCAACAAGAGAUGCAGAUUCUGUGGAAAUGCUUGUUAAACCUUGUCUAUCUAACGGAGAUGAAAUUCUGCAGGCACUAAAUGCACUCCGCAAUGGGACAGAAAAUGGCAGUGAGACGCAUGAAGAGCCUACAGAGAUCACUCCAAAGCACACAUCUUUAAGUAGAUGUCAGAUGAAUAAAAAUAUUAAUGAGUCAGUCUGGUCUGUGGAGUCUCUAGCUCCUUUCAUUCCUACUAAGGAGUGGCUACAGCAGAAUAGCGUAUUUGAACCUGAAGUCAUUGUAGAGAUGGAGAGGGCUGAAAAUAGUAAAUGGUCAACCAAAAAAGAUGACUCAAUUGGUAAAUUUUCUAAAGAAAGAAGGCAAUCUUCAAGAUUUUCUUCUCCUGACUCUGUUCUGGUGUCAGAAAGUGUUCUUACUUUUAGUACCCCAGCUAAGAAGCAAAGUCCUCCAAAGAACCCAGACAUGGUGUGUGAAACUGAAGUCUCUGAAACAAAAGGAACUGAAGAAAGCCAAAGCACAGUUCCUUCAGAAAAGUAUCCUUUACUUUCACUUACUACCCUGCAGGGUAUAAUUUUAACUGCCUCCACUGAUGAAGAUAUGAAUGACCAUGGGUCUUCAGAGCCUGAGGCUAACCAAAGCCCAAACCAGGGAACUCUUAUAUAUGAGCAAGAGGAGAAAAGCUCAGUUGAGAGAAAGGAAACCUGCCUCAUUAACUCUGCAGCAGAGGACAAAGUCUCAUCCACUUCCCAAAUGACUCUCCAAAAUGACACACAAAUGGAGGUGGCGACUGCAGCACAAAAAGUAGAUGGUCAAAUGAGAAAUGUGGAACUGGGUGUGCCAACAACUGACCAGAAGAUGGCUCAAGUGACACCAUCAAAGGGGAAUUUAGUAGACUGUGCAAUCCAGUGUACUGAACUACAGGGUCUAAAGUGUUUAUGUAAGGAGUUGAAGGGAGGCGUGGGAUCAAACAGAAAGCCUCAAAAAUAUCCAGACUUGAAAAAGGCAAAUGAUGGAAAAGCUGAAGCAUUCUGCAUGCAGAAAAAUUCAAAGAGGAAUGGUCAGUGGCGAAACAGAGGUCCAGUGCAAACUUGUUCAGUCCCACAGUGUGACUGAAGUAGCUUCAUGCCCAUGAAAAGCAUAAUGGCCAGCAGGAAGACUGCAAUGGAUCCGGAAGCAGACCUGGGAAGUUGAAAGGUGGGAGUGGAAGGAACCCAAGGUACUGACAGUGACCACACUUCAACACAAGUCAACACUUGGUUUUUUUUAAUUUAAAUUGAGUUAUUAAAAAGUUUCUUACUUUUCAAUAAAAGCAUUGUAUUAAACAUAA
Molecule: RNA transcript, 2667 nt
Organism: Oreochromis niloticus (Nile tilapia)
Lineage: Eukaryota; Metazoa; Chordata; Actinopteri; Cichliformes; Cichlidae
Exons: 7
Source: RefSeq, a predicted model, not a curated record